RNAcentral lists this ribosomal RNA (253 nucleotides) under uncultured prokaryote. Its description in RNAcentral is "partial 16S ribosomal RNA". It matches the Rfam family "Bacterial small subunit ribosomal RNA", at positions 524 to 776 of the family's 1533-position model. The record is from RNAcentral.
UACAGAGGGUGCAAGCGUUAAUCGGAAUUACUGGGCGUAAAGCGCGCGUAGGCGGUUUGUUAAGUCGGAUGUGAAAUCCCUGGGCUCAACCUAGGCAUUGCAUCCGAUACUGGCUAACUAGAGUGUGGGAGAGGAAGGUAGAAUUCCACGUGUAGCAGUGAAAUGCGUAGAUAUUGGGAGGAACACCAGUGGCGAAGGCGGCUCACUGGACCGGUACUGACGCUGAUGCGCGAAAGCGUGGGGAGCAAACAGG